GACGAACGCUGGCGGCGUGGAUUAGGCAUGCAAGUCGAACGGUAUCAUCCUUUCGGGGGUGAGAGAGUGGCGAACUGGUGAGUAACACGUAGGUUAUCUACCCUCAAGACGGGGACAACCCAGGGAAACUUGGGCUAAUACCGGAUGUGAGCAACUUUUAGUUGUUUGAAAGGUGGCGUAAGCUGUCGCUUGGGGAUGAGCCUGCGUCCUAUUAGUUAGUUGGUGAGGUAACGGCUCACCUAGGCAAUGAUAGGUAGGCGGCCUUAACGGGUGGUCGCCCACACUGGGAUUGAGAUACGGCCCAGACUCCUACGGGAGGCAGCAGUCGAGAAUAGUCUACAAUGGUCGGAAGACUGAUAGUGCGACGCCGCGUGAACGAUGAAUCCCUUCGGGGUGUAAAGUUCUUUUAUAUGUGAGCAGUGCUUCUUAUAUUAAACAGUAUGGGGAGAGAGAUAUUAGCAUAUGAAUAAGCAACGGCUAACUCCGUGCCAGCAGCCGCGGUAAACUCG
RNAcentral lists this ribosomal RNA (509 nucleotides) under uncultured bacterium. Its description in RNAcentral is "bacterial SSU rRNA". It matches the Rfam family "Bacterial small subunit ribosomal RNA", at positions 28 to 527 of the family's 1533-position model. The record is from RNAcentral.